CGCCGAGAAGCUUACAAGUCCAAGCGUUAGCCUUUUAAGCUAAAGAUAGGUGCCUGACGACCACCCUAGGUGA
Molecule: transfer RNA, 73 nt
Filed under: Gastropsetta frontalis (shrimp flounder)
Lineage: Eukaryota; Metazoa; Chordata; Actinopteri; Pleuronectiformes; Paralichthyidae
Description: tRNA-Lys
Source: RNAcentral